This is an RNA transcript of Arabidopsis thaliana (thale cress), 970 nucleotides long. RefSeq lists it as uncharacterized. The transcript has a single exon. The record is from RefSeq. Lineage: Eukaryota; Viridiplantae; Streptophyta; Magnoliopsida; Brassicales; Brassicaceae.
CAAAGAGAAAGAAGCUUUUUCGUUCACGAUUUGCCGGCGAUUAUUCUCCACUGUUGUUGGUUCCGCUUGAGGCAAAAUUCUCGUCUUCCUGCAUCAGCUUUCUCAGUGGUGUAGGUUAGCUUUGCUUCCAACGUAAAUGGCUUUUUUAGCAUCUUCGUCCGGCUUUGUUUCUGGUAUUGGUGGUUUUGUCAACACCGGUGGUCGACUCUGUUUCUAGCGAUCUCACCGCUUAUCUCGCUAGCGGGUAUUGGCUAGCUUUUGCUCAGGAGCGUUUGCUCUAACUUUUUUUUUUUUUUUUCUUUAGGCUCUUUUGAUUUCCAAUUAGUUUUGGUUUCCUUUGGCUCUCGCUAGCUUUAUCUCUUUCUAUUGAUCUAAGUUUGUAAUUCUUCAAUCCUUCUUUGUUUAAAGGGCUUGAUUCGUUCUUCAUGCUUUCUAGAUUUUAAAAUUUUAAGAACGAAGUUAUAUUGUUGGAUUGAUGUUUCUCUUCGUUAAUAGUUCAUGUUGAAGUAAUUGGGGGCUGAAAUUAUAUACCGAUACUUUGGAUUCGAUUGAAUUUUCGUUUUUAGGUUUGAUGACCUGCAAUUGAAGAUUGAAAGCUUGUCUAUUGAAGAAGAAGAAGAAGAAGAAAAUUCAAAGAUUCUCAUCAAAGCUAAAAUUGGAAUCUCGCCAUGAUUUCUUUGGGCGAAGUUUGAGACAUGUUGAUAGAUCAAGUUUUCUGGUGAUUUUGGUCGGAUUGAAGAUUCCCGACGACACACAAUUUUGCCAAUGAACGGAAACUCCUAUCUCUUCCACUUCCCACGUGUCUAGAAGCCUGGUUACCAUUGGAUACGUGUUUCAUGUGCUGUCUACAACAAGCUUUCCUUCAAUUUAGGGUUUCUGUUGGGCUUUUCUUUUAAUUUAGUGUUAUUGCCUGUUAAUUUUGGCUUUAUAUUAUUUGGCCUUGUAUAAAUAAAUAAAACACAGUUGUGAC